GUGCUCGCUUUGACAGCACAUAUACUGAAAUUGGAAGGAUACAGAAGAUUAGCAUGGCCCUGCACAAAGAUGACACGCAAAUUCGUGAAGCAUUCCUGAGGAGA
Small nuclear RNA from Tursiops truncatus (common bottlenose dolphin), 104 nucleotides. NCBI's taxonomy places the organism in Eukaryota, Metazoa, Chordata, Mammalia, Artiodactyla, Delphinidae. The record is from Ensembl.